AUCAUACAUCAUACAUAGUAUUAAAGUUCGAAACCAAUGUUUAGAUGUUCGGAUGUUCAGAAAGUGACGUCACCCAAAUUUUUUUUUCUCUUGACGUCAUUCAUCUAAAAUCAGCUAGUCAAAUUCCUCAGUCUGGAAACGAACGCGCAGUAAAGCGGACGUAUGAAAAUCGCGCUCCGCAGAUUUCGAGUAACGGGUUCUCUACCUCCUGGAUCCGGCGCUCCGGAUCCGCUACCUGGUGAAACUCGACUUCCAGAACAAGCGCUCCGUAGUUCUGGCUGUCCAGGUUCUCCACCUGGUGGAUUUUGACAUCCAGGAAAAGCGCUCCGUAGUUCUGGCUGUCCAGGUCCUUGACCUGAUGACUCUUGACCUUCCGGACUAAUUUUCAAGUUUACAAGUUUAAUUAUCGAAAACGUCACGUUUUUUACUAUCAAACCAAUAUGCAUGUUACAGAUAACAUUUUGAAUCGGAAAAAAAACCGAAUGACCAGGAUCAACAAAUUGCAAUUGCAUUAUAUAGAAAAAAUCACAUGGACAGAGACAGUGUUCAUUCUGUAUACUGUGAAGCGAAUGCCAGAAUUUUUUGGGGAGUCAUCAUGCCCCAGUCUCCCCUACAACUAUGUCAUCUGGUAAAACACUGACAACGAGUAAGCGAGCGCACGAGAUACAAGAACCAGUCACACUAGGCAUCCGACCCCGAGCGAUCUUUAGCGAACAAAAAUUACGCACUCCAUCUUUCGUGCCAAUUCCAGAUUCCAGCGGCGAGGCGCUUCAAUGGCCAGCUAAUAACUUCGCCAUUUUGCGACAAUUGAUGAUAAGUAAAAUUUUCUUGUACUGUCGAAAUGUGAGUUAAAAUACACUCGAAAUUUUAAAAAGCUUCGUUAGUUAUCUCCCAUUAAAAAAAAAUAGCCGACAAUCAACGUUUCGCUUAGAAAUUAUCGUAUUUGAUUGAUUAAAAAAAAAAAAAAAAAAAAACUUUUGUGCACUUUUCCCGAUCUUUCAUAUAGUAGCAUUUAAAGUACCCGGUUUUCACUUUGAACCGACAUGAAAAAUAUUUUUUCUCCAUUAUCUGACUUUAUUAUUGACCUUUUUUCGGCGUUACUUAAAUAUUUAGCUAUAUAAUUAUUGAUUGCUUUCAGUUUUUAACCAUUUGUAUACGAUAAAAGUACAGAAUGAAUAACAAAUAAUGAAUUAUUUUUAUGUAAACCAAUAAGAAAAAGCUAUG
This 1224-nucleotide long non-coding RNA is filed under the name Neodiprion pinetum (white pine sawfly). Its description in RNAcentral is "uncharacterized LOC124216601, transcript variant X1". The record is from RNAcentral. Lineage: Eukaryota; Metazoa; Arthropoda; Insecta; Hymenoptera; Diprionidae.